RNAcentral lists this ribosomal RNA (428 nucleotides) under uncultured bacterium. RNAcentral describes it as "bacterial SSU rRNA". It matches the Rfam family "Bacterial small subunit ribosomal RNA", at positions 355 to 775 of the family's 1533-position model. The record is from RNAcentral.
UCGAGAAUAAUUCACAAUGGGGGAAACCCUGAUGGUGCAACGCCGCGUGGAGGAUGAAGGUCUUCGGAUUGUAAACUCCUGUCAUCUGGGAGUAAGGCGUGGCGAUGAAUAGUCGACACGAUUGAUAGUACCAGAAGAGGAAGGGACGGCUAACUUCGUGCCAGCAGCCGCGGUAAUACGAAGGUCCCAAGCGUUGUUCGGAAUCACUGGGCGUAAAGGGAGCGUAGGCGGCGUGGUAAGUCAGAUGUGAAAUCCCGGGGCUCAACCCCGGAACUGCAUCCGAUACUGCCAUGCUUGAGGGUUGGAGAGGUAGCUGGAAUUCUCGGUGUAGCAGUGAAAUGCGUGGAUAUCGAGAGGAACACUCGUGGCGAAGGCGAGCUACUGGACAACAUCUGACGCUGAGGCUCGAAGGCUAGGGUAGCGAAAGG